GUGGGGAAUAUUGCGCAAUGGACGAAAGUCUGACGCAGCGACGCCGCGUGAGGGAUGAAGGUUUUCGGAUCGUAAACCUCUGUCAGGAGGGAAGAAAGCGCAUGGCGCCAAUCAGUCAUGCGUUGACGGUACCUCCAAAGGAAGCGCCGGCUAACUCCGUGCC
Molecule: ribosomal RNA, 163 nt
Filed under: uncultured bacterium
Lineage: Bacteria
Description: partial 16S ribosomal RNA
Rfam family: Bacterial small subunit ribosomal RNA
Source: RNAcentral